AAUUAAUUACCUAACAAUGAGCACUAAAUCAAGUUGGUAAAGGUACUUAAGCACAAAUUAUAUACCAACCCGUAACAAUCUUCUAUAUAUAUAAUUAUGUGGGGCACAUCAAAAGAGAAAUUAAUUAAUUAGCAAUCAACCCUAAGUAGUUACAAAAAUCUUCAUCUUUUUCUUGCUUUUUUUGGUGGAAAAUCACUGGUGGAUGGCGAUGGUCCUUAUAAUAAUAAUAAUAAUAAUAAUAAUGUAGAACCGAAAGCUACCGACCACCUAAUUUUCCAAGACUAGUUAUUGUCAACAGUUUUAAAAGCUCAUCAUGCAAUGAUGACUAUGAUACAAUUCUUAAACGAACUUUUUUCAGUAAUACAUGCUAAUUAAUUAAUCAAUUAUCUGAAAUUAUUAAUUAAUAAUUCAACCCCUUCUUAUAAUUCCAAGAUCGUGUAAAACAUUAUUAAAACACAAAUAUGAAAAAAUCAAGUGGGAUUGAAAACUUUAAUAAACUUAAUUUAUUUUGUUUCCCAAAUUAUUUGAAUUGCAUAAAGGAAGGGAAAUUUCCGUGAUACUAUGAUCAGCCCCUUGAGUCAAUAAUAAUUAUCAAUCAUAAUUGACCUAUCAAGUCAGCCUUUUAACUUCGUCAACACCAUGAAGAAAAUAGGAAACUUUCAAAUUUCGGCCAGGAAAAUAAAUAAACUAAAAUAUAAUUAAAGAACGUAUGUAUGUUAAAAUUAAUUAAAGGAGAAACAAAUAAUGAAGAACGUGAAAAUGAAUUUUAUUUUGUUUCGUAAUGGAUCAGUGAAUUAAUAAGGGAUGGAAUGAAUAUGUGAAUGAUAGGUGAUGCUACUUUAUCUGUCUAUCUAUAAUAUGUGGUGGUGGGUACCACGAGCGAAUAUUCUAUCUACGUGACCUAAAACUGUUAUAUUAUACAAAUAAUAUUUGAGAAAAGGACCUCAGAGGACCAUUUAUAUAAUUACAAAUAUUCUCUGGACGAACCCGAAAAAAAAAAAGAUACAUUAAAAAAAACUACGCAGCUUUGUAGAAAUU
Neltuma alba is the source of this 1038-nucleotide long non-coding RNA. RefSeq lists it as uncharacterized. NCBI's taxonomy places the organism in Eukaryota, Viridiplantae, Streptophyta, Magnoliopsida, Fabales, Fabaceae. The record is from RefSeq and is a predicted model, not a curated record. The transcript is spliced from 2 exons.